RNAcentral lists this ribosomal RNA (567 nucleotides) under Odontella sp. 3BOF. RNAcentral describes it as "eukaryotic LSU rRNA". It matches the Rfam family "Eukaryotic large subunit ribosomal RNA", at positions 364 to 968 of the family's 3401-position model. Lineage: Eukaryota; Bacillariophyta; Thalassiosirophyceae; Eupodiscales; Odontellaceae. The record is from RNAcentral.
AUGCAAAGAACUUUGAAAAGAGAGUUAAAAAGUACCUGAAAUUGCUGAAAGGUAAGCGAUAGAAACCAGUGCACAGUUUCAUCAUAUUUUUCCUUCUACUUGUAGGAGGGACGCUGUGAUUAGACAAUGGUCAGGAUGGGUUUUCCCGGGGAUAAAUGUGUAUAUAGGAGUUGCCUGUAUUCACCUAUUUCUGGUAAGACUAAGGUAGUCACGUAAGUGCUCGUGAUCCUGACAAAAUGGUUUUUAUUACCCCGUCUUGAAACACGGACCAAGGAGUCUAACACACAUGCGAGUAUGAGGGUGAUAAACCUUUAUGCGUAAUGAAAGUAACAGUGGUUGGACUCUUUUGAGGCACAAUCUGCCGGCCAUAAUUCUUCGGAAGAAAGGUCUGAGUGUGAGCAUGUGUGUUGGGACCCGAAAGAUGGUGAACUUUGCGUGAGUAGGGUGAAGCCAGGGGAAACUCUGGUGGAGGCUCGUAGCGAUUCUGACGUGCAAAUCGAUCGUCAAACUUACGUAAAGGGGCGAAAGACCAAUCGAACUAUCUAGUAGCUGGUUCCCUCCGAAAUU